UACGUAGGGUGCAAGCGUUGUCCGGAAUUAUUGGGCGUAAAGAGCUCGUAGGCGGUCUGUCACGUCGGCUGUGAAAACUCGGGGCUCAACUCCGAGCCUGCAGUCGAUACGGGCAGACUAGAGUUCGGUAGGGGAGACUGGAAUUCCUGGUGUAGCGGUGAAAUGCGCAGAUAUCAGGAGGAACACCGGUGGCGAAGGCGGGUCUCUGGGCCACUACUGACGCUGAGAAGCGAAAGCAUGGGGAGCGAACAGG
This 253-nucleotide ribosomal RNA is filed under the name uncultured bacterium. Its description in RNAcentral is "partial 16S ribosomal RNA". It matches the Rfam family "Bacterial small subunit ribosomal RNA", at positions 524 to 776 of the family's 1533-position model. The record is from RNAcentral.